CUCCAUGUAUCUUUGGGACCUGCCGCCUGUGGCAGUCUCCCUUCCUAGCCAUGGAAGAGCAUGUUCUUGUUAUUGGCAAAGCUGUCACCAUUUAAUUGGUAUCAGAUUCUGACUUGGACAAGUGACAUUC
Molecule: small nucleolar RNA, 130 nt
Organism: Mesocricetus auratus (golden hamster)
Lineage: Eukaryota; Metazoa; Chordata; Mammalia; Rodentia; Cricetidae
Source: Ensembl